This is a long non-coding RNA of Ostrea edulis (European flat oyster), 1756 nucleotides long. RefSeq lists it as uncharacterized. NCBI's taxonomy places the organism in Eukaryota, Metazoa, Mollusca, Bivalvia, Ostreida, Ostreidae. The transcript has 3 exons. The record is from RefSeq and is a predicted model, not a curated record.
CUUACAAGUAUGGACCUAAAUGUGCCUUUGAUUGCGGACAUUGUAAAGAUGGAGUUCCUUGUUCACCAGGGAAUGGAAGCUGUCUAAGUGGUUGUGAAGAUGGAUGGGGAGAUAUAUCUUGCUUGAAAGCAUCAUCAAGAUCGGAUAGACAGGGGUCCAUCACCACCGACAAAAGUCCCAACACAGAACUGUACGUAACUAUUGGAGUUUUAUCAACACUUCUCACUAUAAGCGUGGUCGUGGUCAUAAUUCUGGUAUAUAUAGUCCGUAAACAGAACCGGCAACCCUCCCAGCAGCAUGAUAGCAAUCCACCACAAAGCUUUGUUAAUCAUAUAGAAAUGGAGGAAACACAUGAUUACGAUAAACUAUGAGUCAGAGAUACGGGUGAGUACCAAGAACUACCAACCGUUGUUGCUGACCAACUUCCACAGGAGAGACAUGCGUCAGACUCAAACUAUAUUAACUCAACGUUGCAAUAACAAUGAUAUUGCAGAGUUUCCAAAUAUGGAGUCUGAAACUUGUAAUUAAACUUUGAACCAUACAUGCAUUAUUUCUGUCAAAUGAUCAAAAUAGAGCUUUAACGUAGUUCCACACUCCUGUGACGUCAUAGGAUUUUGAAAAGUCAAUGAUUUAAUGAUAGGAACAUAAAUUUUGUUGGAAUCUUUUUCAAAUGUUAUUGUAAAAAAUCUUGUUAGCCAUAAAAUAUUUCAAAAUUCUUAGUUAUAUUUGAAUAGUCAAUGAUAUGUUUCAAAAUAUUGAAUCCAAGGACAAUAAUUCUGUUUUCAUUCAAUUAUUUAUCCAGUCCAUAAUGCGAUAUAUUUCCUUUAUUUUUUACAAACAUUUUACCAAGGUGAUAAGGAAUCAUUAUCUGUGUCUUUUCAUGAAAUUACAUAAAAUUGUAAUACCGAGUGAUUUUAAAUAGAUCAGCUGUAUGGUGCCAGACUUCAGUUUUUGAUGGGGGUAUACAUGAAGCUAUAGAUUUGAAAUUAUUAAGGGAAGGUAUGGAUUUUUUCCCCAUGAAUAACCAUAACAGAUGUAACUCUACUAAUAUAAACAGAAAAAAUGAUAUGUAAACCAUGCUAUAAGGAAAAUGCGUCCACAUUUGUGUGUUUUUUAACAUUUUGGGGAAUAACGCUAAUUCAAUAAUUUUGCACAUAUUAUUCUAAAACUUGAUGAACAUAUUGAAAAUGACAUGUGUUUUAGUUAUUGACAUGUUUCCCGAUAAAUAAAUGCAAUUAAAAAAAUAUUUUGUUGUUUUUAUAUUAAAAUAACAACAAAUAACUGUUUCCAAUGAAUUUCAUAAAAAUCUACAUCGGGGUAUAUGACUUUAGUGGUGUAUGUAAUGAAAAUUAAUAUGGAAACCCUUAACUGUUUUGAAUUUUUUCAUUACUCUGAAUGUUAAUUUAUUGAUUCCAAACAAAAAAAAUGCUACCUAAACCCCAAAAAUCCAGGACUAAGGACCCACCUUAAGUUAAAACAAUGUGAAACACACUUUAAUCUAUGACAACAUACUAUUGGUUUGGGGUGACUGAUCUCUAAUGCGUGAUGUUUUAAGGGAUCGUUGUGCGAUGUAUUAAGGGAUCGUUGUGUGAUGUUUUAAGGGAUCAUUGUGUGGUGUUUUAAGGGAUCGUUGUGUGAUGUUUAAGGGAUCGUUGUGUGAUGUUUAAGGGGUUUUUGCUCGUUCUACAAUUAAUUACGAGAUUUGCAUUCAUUUUUUUAUCUCUUUUGUAACAAAAAUAAAAUUGCAUAUCCAUGA